AUGUGGCAGUUCAGCACUGCAGCAUUAAGGAAUAUGAUGUCAAAUUCACAGUGGUUACCAGUAAUCUACAUAUUCUGUAUGCUGAAAGAUGUGGCCACCGGCACUAAGGAAAUGUGGAAGAUCAACAUUACGCAACAAGAGUUUACUGUGGAAACGUCCAGUAAUAUCACCAUCGACUGCAGAGUGGAAUACCCACCACCUGAAAUGAGCAAAAAGGACAUUCAGGGCUUCUGGAAGGUGAACCGUGAAGGAAGAAUUAGCCAUUGCGAACGAAAAUCCAACGAAAUCAUCUACAAUCAUAACAAUACGUUAGUGUGGCGGAGAUUCCAGGGAAGAACUAAAGCCCUCGGGAACAUUGCGAACAACAGCUGUUCUCUAUCAAUCAGCAAGAUCCAGAAUGAGGAUCAGGGGCGCUACUACUUUAGAGUGGAGACAGGAUCUAAUAGCUACAGCUUUUGCAACAAUAUGAUCACCAUUAAAGUUAUAGGACAUGUCUCCAAUGUUACCUUGAAAGCAGUGUCUCAAGAUGUCACAGAAAACCCAUUUUUUUCUACAAAUAUUCCAGGAACCUCCGCACCUUCGACAGACUUUAGCAUCUUUAUUUACGUGCCGAUUAUCGUGCUCGUUGUUGUGAUUGUGGCUGUAGCUGUGUUUCUCCUCAGACGAAGAAAAAGAAGAAGACAACCGUCCAGACAAGACUCAAGUUACUAUGUCAAUUUCCAUCCGCCUUGUGAGAUGCAGAAUGAUGGACCUAAGUUGCCAGAGAAGUUUGAAAAAAAGCUGGAACCACCGCCCUUUACAUCUAAACCUCAGGAUGAACCUAUUUACAGCAAUGUUCAGGGUAAGACUCUUGUGGAGCCUGCUGCUUCUGAUCAGAUGGAGAACAUCUACACUAAUGUUGGCUGUGGUACACAGUGGUAGGAAAUGGCCUGAGAGUGUUUUGGGACCUGAGGGGUUGGAGGGUCAAGGAGUGUUGGCAUUUCAAUGUUAAAGUUUAACCAAUGUUAAGUAGCAAAUAAGACAAUAAAUUAAAAAGCUACAUUUCA
Molecule: long non-coding RNA, 1046 nt
Filed under: Astyanax mexicanus (Mexican tetra)
Lineage: Eukaryota; Metazoa; Chordata; Actinopteri; Characiformes; Acestrorhamphidae
Description: lncRNA (ENSAMXG00005000143.1)
Source: RNAcentral